Molecule: ribosomal RNA, 605 nt
Filed under: Ileodictyon gracile
Lineage: Eukaryota; Fungi; Basidiomycota; Agaricomycetes; Phallales; Phallaceae
Description: eukaryotic LSU rRNA
Rfam family: Eukaryotic large subunit ribosomal RNA
Source: RNAcentral
CUAACAAGGAUUCCCCUAGUAACGGCGAGUGAAGCGGGAUGAGCUCAAAUUUGUAAUCUGGCGGUCUCGCGGCCGUCCGAGUUGUAAUCUGGAGAAGCGUUUUCGGUGCCGGUCCGCGUACAAGUCCCCUGGAACGGGGCGUCGCAGAGGGUGAGAAUCCCGUCUUUGACGCGGUCCGCCGGUGCCGUGCGAUGCGCUCUCGAAGAGUCGAGUUGUUUGGGAAUGCAGCUCAAAACGGGUGGUAAAUUCCAUCUAAAGCUAAAUACUGGCGAAAGACCGAUAGCGAACAAGUACCGUGAGGGAAAGAUGAAAAGCACUUUGGAAAGAGAGUCAAACAGUACGUGAAAUUGUUGAAAGGGAAACGCUUGAAGUCAGUCGCGUCUCUCGGGACUCAGCCGGGUUGGUUCUCGGUGUAUUUCCCGAGUCUGGACGGGCCAGCAUCGGUUUCGACCGUCGUAAAAAGGUGUGAGGAACGUGGCACCCUUCUGGGUGUGUUAUAGCCUCUCGUCGUAUGCGACGGACGGGACUGAGGAACGCAGCGCGCCCCUUUCGGGGCCGGGGUUCGCCCACGUAACGCGCUUAGGAUGCUGGCGUAAUGGCUUUAA